This is an RNA transcript of Salarias fasciatus (jewelled blenny), 3363 nucleotides long. It is a transcript of the gene named tripartite motif-containing protein 16-like, with no coding region annotated. NCBI's taxonomy places the organism in Eukaryota, Metazoa, Chordata, Actinopteri, Blenniiformes, Blenniidae. The record is from RefSeq and is a predicted model, not a curated record. The transcript has 2 exons.
CACAGCUGACGGAUCACUGACGUCUCUGAGCUGCAGUGCAGCUCUUCACCAGCAGAACCAAUGAGAAUCAGCGCUCACAGGAGGAGGAAGCCAGAGGAGGGUUUGACCUUAAACCUGCUAAGCAGGAAGAGAAAGUAUUCAAACUCAUGCUGUUGCUGAGAGGAGAAAAUGGCAAAGAGAGGAGCUCAGCUGGACUCAGAAAACUUCUCUUGUUCCAUCUGUCUGGAUCUCUUGAAGGAUCCGGUGGCGGUUCCCUGUGGACACAGCUACUGCAGCAACUGUAUUAAAGGACACUGGGAUCAACAGGACGACAGGGGAUUCUACAGCUGUCCUCAGUGCAGGAAGAGGUUCAGACAGAGACCUGACCUGGAGAAGAACUUCCUGUUAGCAGAGCUAGCGGAGGAUCUGAAGAAGACUGAACUCCAAGCUGCUGCAGUUGAUCUCUGCUCUGCUGGACCUGAAGAUGUGUCCUGUGAUGUUUGCUCUGGGAGGAAGCUGAAAGCCGUCAAGUCCUGUCUGGUCUGUUUGGUCUCUUACUGUGAGGAACACCUCCAACCUCACCAUCAAUCUGCUGCUUUUAAGAAACACCAGCUGGUGGAGCCCUCCAAGAAGCUCCAGGAGAAGAUGUGCUCUCUUCACGAUGAGGUGAUGAAGAUUUUCUGUUUCACUGAUCAGCAGAGUAUCUGUUACCUCUGCACCAUGGACCAACACAGAGGCCAUGAAACAGUCCCAGCUGCAGCAGAGAGGAGACAGAAGCAGAAGGAGCUGGAGGAGAGUCGACUAAACAUCCAGCAGAGAAUCCAGGAGCGAGAGAAAAACAUGGAGCUGCUUCAGCAGCAGAUGGAGGCAAUCAAUGUCUCUGCUGAUGAAGCCAGAUCUCAGAUGAUCCAUCUCAUCCAGAAGAGGACUGGUGAGGUGAAACAGCUGCUCAGGUCCCAGCAGCAAACUGCAGUGAGUAGACUCAAGGAGCUUCAGAAGAAGCUGCAGCAGGAGAUCAGUGAGCUGAAGAGGAAAGACGUCCAGCUGGAGCAGCUGGCUCACACAGAGGACCACACCCAGUUUCUGAUCAGCUACCCCUCAGUGUCAGCACUCAGUGAGCCCACACACUCCUACAGCAUCCUGACUGCUCCUGUCAGAUACUUUGAGGAUGUGGCAGCAGCUGUGUCAGAGAGCAGAGACAAACUGGAGGACAUCCCGAGAGAGACUGAAGAGGAGCUUUUUCUGCCACAACCAGAGACCAGAACAGAGUUCUUACAAUAUUCAAAGCAGAUCACACUGGAUCCAAACUCUGCACACAGAAGGCUGAUAUUAUGUGAUGGGAACAGAAAAGUAAGUUUCAUAUUAGAAAAUCAGCUUUUAUCUGAUCAUCCAGAGAGAUUUACUGGAUGUGUUCAGGUUCUGAGCAGAGAGAGUCUGACUGGACGUUGUUACUGGGAGGUGGAGUGGCGAGGAAGAGAAGGAGUUUAUGUAGCAGUCACAUACAAGAACAUCAGCAGAGCAGGGUGGGGAAGUAAGUGUGGAUUUGGAUUUAAUGACAAAUCUUGGGCUUUAUGUUGCUAUUCUGACAGCUUUAUAUUUUGGCACAACAACACACCUACUCCCCUCUCAGGUCCUCGGUCCUCCAGAGUGGGAGUGUACCUGGAUCACACAGCAGGGAUUCUGUCUUUCUACAGCAUCUCUGGAACCAUGACUCUCCUCCACAGAGUCCAGACCGCCUUCACUCAGCCACUACACGCUGGAGUUUGGCUUCAUCCUGAUGACGGAGACUCUGCAGAGUUCCUGAAACCUCAGUAGAGGACUUUCAUCAGAUCUCUAAUUGUAGUUUCCUAGUUCCUAUUUCCUGUAGUUUCCUCAUGUGCUUCACAGAGAUGUGGUUGAAGAGACUUUUAUCGGACUCUGCGGUGUCUCUGGGCGGAUUCACACGAGCGCGUGCAGACCGGAGCGCCGCGGAGACCAAUGCAGCGGCAGCGUGUGAGCAGCUCCAGAGCACCGUCAGCCAGAUCCAGACCCGCCACCCCCCGGCCUGGCUGAUGAUCAGCGGAGACUUAAAUCACGCUUAACUCUCCGCAUCCAACAUCGGGGUGGAAGACGCCGUCAUCUACCUGCUGCAGCGGACACUCACCCACCUGGAGACUGUCAGAAGCACUGUGAGGGGCAUGUUCUUCCACUUCUCCAGUGCCUUCAACAACAUCAGGCCGACGCUGCUGUGGGGGAAGCUGACGGACGGGGGAGUGGACGGACACCUCGCUGCCUGGACCAUGGACUACCUCACUGACCGUCCACAGUACAGGCGGCUGUGAGUCCGAGGUGGUGGUCUGCAGCACGGGGGCGCCCCAGGGCACCGUCCUCUCUCCUUUCCUCUUCACCAUCUACACCUCAGACUUCACCUACAAUACGAACAGCUGCCAUCUCCAGAUAUUCUCCGAUGACCCCGCCAUUGUGGGCUGUGUGUCGGAGGGGAACCAGAUGGAGUGCCGGUCGGUCGCCAUUGACUUUGAGGACUGGUGUGAGCGCAGCCACCUGUGCUUGAACACCAGUAAGACGAAGGAGAUGGUGAUCGACUUCAGAAGGAGGACACUUCCACACCCACCGGUGAACAUCCAGGGGGAGGAUAUGAGACAGUGGACAGUUUCAAGUCCCUGGGUGUUCACCUCAACAAUAAACUGGACUGGCCCCACAACACCAACGCUCUGGACAAGAAGGGCCAGAGAGUCUCCACCUUCUGAGGAGACUGAGUUCCUUGGGAGUGUGCAGACCUCUGCUCAUGACCUUUUAUGACUCUGUGGUUCCUCUAGUGUCCACUACGCCGCCGUCUGCUGGGCCCAGGGCAGCACAGAGCGGGACAGGAAGAGACUCGACCGACUGGUCAGGAGGGCCAGCUUUGUCCUGGGCUGUCCACUGGACUCUCUGGAGGAUGUGACUGAGAGGAGGAUGCUGGCCAAGCUCACAUCCAUUAUGGACAACAGCUCUCACCCACAGCCUCCCUCAGUGCAGGAGAGAGCGCUGCCCCAGGUCCUUCAUCCCCACCGCUGUCAGACUGUACAACUUUACUGUGUCUAAUAUGAGCAAUAACCUUGGACAUUAUAAUAUCUGUAACCAUGGUCACGUUAACCCUAUUAGAAAUUUGAUGUCACUUUAUAAUCCAUUCACUCUGCUACACUAAAAACAUAUUGUGCAUAUUUGUAUAUAUUAUAGUUCCUGUUAUAUUUUAAGAUUUAUGUUGUACAUACAGUUAGAUCCUCCUGCUUUGAGUUUUUCUAUUAUCAAUCUUUACUACGAUUUGCACUAUUACUUGUUCUUUAUUUGAACCUUUCAUUACUUUUUGCUCCCCCCUGUGUCUUCUACGAGCCUCUUGCACCUGUA